RNAcentral lists this ribosomal RNA (245 nucleotides) under uncultured bacterium. RNAcentral's name for it is "partial 16S ribosomal RNA". It matches the Rfam family "Bacterial small subunit ribosomal RNA", at positions 524 to 766 of the family's 1533-position model. The record is from RNAcentral.
UACGUAGGGUGCAAGCGUUAAUCGGAAUUACUGGGCGUAAAGCGUGCGCAGGCGGUUUUGUUAAGUCUGACGUGAAAUCCCCCGGGCUCAACCUGGGAAUUGCGUUGGAGACUGCAAGGCUGGAGUCUGGCAGAGGGGGGUAGAAUUCCACGUGUAGCAGUGAAAUGCGUAGAGAUGUGGAGGAACACCGAUGGCGAAGGCAGCCCCCUGGGUCAAGACUGACGCUCAUGCACGAAAGCGUGGGG